CUGGGCGUCUAAUAUAUCUUGAAAACAUUCAGAGCAGAAAGCAGUGGAUGAACUGUUAAUAACAUAAUGGAAAAUAUGAUUUCCUGGAGUCUGUUCUUCAUAGUUACUAUUAAUGGAGUUUGGAGUGAAAUCAAACACGAACAGUCUCCCUCCGAGGUGAAAAAACCUGGAGAGAAAGUGAAGAUGUCGUGUAUCACGUCAGGUUAUACAAUGACAGACCACUACAUUCACUGGAUACGACAGAGGCCAGGAAAUGCUCUGGAGUGGAUUGGGAGGAUGGACACAGGCAGCAACUCUGCUACCUUCAGCAGCUCCUUCCAAAGCCGUUUCAUCAUGACUGAAGAUGUGCCCAAGAGCACUCAGUACCUCGAGGUCACGAGCCUGACAGCAGAAGACUCAGCUGUUUACUUCUGUGCUCGAGAAACACAGUGACUGAAGACAGCGGAGCAGCUGAACAAAAACAUCCACACACAACAAACAGCACCUUGGGGACAUUUGGGUUUUCUCACAAACUGCAAAAGUACUUUGAUAUAUUUAACAUCUUCAUGUUGUCAGUAAUAGCUUUUAAAAACAAAUGAAGAACAGGAUAAGAGUUUAUUCAUAACUUAAAUAAAAUAAAUACAC
Gasterosteus aculeatus aculeatus (three-spined stickleback) is the source of this 624-nucleotide non-coding RNA. The record is from the annotation of a RefSeq genome assembly. Lineage: Eukaryota; Metazoa; Chordata; Actinopteri; Perciformes; Gasterosteidae.